This 510-nucleotide long non-coding RNA is filed under the name Ananas comosus (pineapple). RNAcentral describes it as "long non-coding RNA (ACOM_LNC043667)". Lineage: Eukaryota; Viridiplantae; Streptophyta; Magnoliopsida; Poales; Bromeliaceae. The record is from RNAcentral.
GUCAACACCUCAAAACACUAUUCAUCCAGGCAACUUAAAAUCUGAUAUCUUUCGCCGGAGCUCCCUGAAUAUCCGUUUGAGCUCAAACUUGACAGUCAUGUUCGGUUUUACUUAACUUAACAAGCUGACGAUCGCUGGUUCAGUUUCGACCCCGUUUGGUCACUGAAAACUGUACCGAACUGCAAUCUUUAUCAGAUAGCUGUCAGAUUUUAUUUCUCACUCUACGGGUGUCAGAAAAAUAUGAAACUUUAAAUCUAGCCUCAUAAAAAUAUUUCUGACUUAUCCUCCAAUUUUCAUAAUUUUUUGAGACUGUGCAUUUUCUGCUAAUUUAUCUGUCCCGUUUUCAACAGAAAAUUCUAGAUCUUCUGUUUUCAUUCCGAUUUCAGCACAAGUCACUUCUGACUUAUGUUUUACUUCUACAAAUCCAAUAAAAAUAGUUUCUCACACUAUUUUUAUUUAUUUUUAUUUUUAUACCAAAAUCUGGUAUGUUACACCACUGCAAACCACACA